RNAcentral lists this long non-coding RNA (1371 nucleotides) under Heterocephalus glaber (naked mole-rat). RNAcentral describes it as "lncRNA (ENSHGLG00000045382.1)". The record is from RNAcentral. Lineage: Eukaryota; Metazoa; Chordata; Mammalia; Rodentia; Bathyergidae.
GUAAAAAAUCAGUUGCCUUAUUUUUGCCCAGCAGCCCUCCUGCCACCCAGCUGAGAGUGGGUGUCACUGCCAAAUAGCAGUGUCACCGGGCCUCUGCCAAGUGCGGCCCUUCCCAGAGUGGCCGGGUCCCGGGCCCCACAUCUGCAGCUCCUCAGCCUUCCUGGCUUCCCCAGCACAGGGCCCCCCUUGCGCCUGGCCUCCUCUUGCUGCCGUCCUCUCUGGACAGCAUCCAAAGCCAUCACUGUGGCAUCCAGAUGCUCCUCCAAGAACCUGUUCCCAGCAGCAAGCUCCUCUCCUGGAGAGGGAAGGUCCAGCCUCACGCACACACCAGCGACAGGAGAACGUGCUGGCACUCAAGGUGGGCCCAGGACAAGACGCUCGGAAAACAGCAUGGAUUGUUUAGCCCGUGAACGCGAGCAAUGCGUGAAGACGAACAAAUAUUCGACACCCACAACUGACAGAAGGAGAGGUUAAUUUGGCUUACAGUUUCCAGAGGUUUCAGUCCAUGGUCAGCACUCCAAGGCAGGAACAUCACAGCAGCAGGGCCUGGUGGAGGAAGCUGCUCACCUCAUGCAGCCAGGAAGCAGAGAGAAGGGAGGAGCCAGGGACAGGAGCAAGAAAGCACCUUCCAGGUCACACCCCAGUGACCUCCUCCAGCCAGGGCCACUUCCUAUAGCACCUUCAGCCCUGAACUCACCCAUGAUGGAUCCACUGGUGAGCACAGUGCCCCAUGCUCAGUCACCUCCUGAAGACCUUUGGGGACAAUAUAGAUCUAAAGCAUGACAGAGUCUAAUCGGGUGCUCUGCUCUCUCUUCUGAGCACCUGGCACAACCCUCCCUGCAACGCGCUGUACCGGGCAUGAGCCGUGAGCUGCUACCUGGGUGACACGGCUCCGUGUGUGUCAGGUCCAAGGUGCAUUCUGCCUCCAAAUAAAAGGCAGGUGAAGUCCAGAUGGAUUUCUUGGUUUAAAAUAGCUGGGAAAUUAUUUCAGUAGUUUCGUGUUUACUUUGUGCCAUAUUGAAAAGAUACCCUCCAAAGGAAUCCUCACAGAAAGAUAUUUUCAGCAAAAGGUUCAUGAGUGUAGACUGUGCGCAACAUGCCACAAAAGGUAUAGGUGGCAAAGGGUGUCCCUGUCUUAGGAGGAGAACAGCAGGAAAAGCAGGACAUCGGAGUGAGCUGGAGGGAUUCGUGCCAUGGUGGGAUAAUAGCUCACACGGCAGCUAAACACAGGGUCAGCUCAAGUUGGCCGCCAGAUUCUCCCAAUGAGGUCCAUUUUUAAAAUGCUGAUCAAGUAAAACUUCAAGUUUGCUCAAAACUACACUUGGCCUGGUGUCCAAAUAUUUCCAACCAAGACUAAUCCCUAAAAACCCC